GACGAACGCUGGCGGCGUGCUUAACACAUGCAAGUCGAACGGAAAGGCCCUGCUUUUGUGGGGUGCUCGAGUGGCGAACGGGUGAGUAACACGUGAGUAACCUGCCCUUGACUUUGGGAUAACUUCAGGAAACUGGGGCUAAUACCGGAUAGGAGCUCCUGCUGCAUGGUGGGGGUUGGAAAGUUUCGGCGGUUGGGGAUGGACUCGCGGCUUAUCCGCUUGUUGGUGGGGUAGUGGCUUACCAAGGCUUUGACGGGUAGCCGGCCUGAGAGGGUGACCGGCCACAUUGGGACUGAGAUACGGCCCAGACUCCUACGGGAGGCAGCAGUGGGGAAUAUUGCACAAUGGGCGGAGUCCUUAUGCAGCAACGCCGCGUGCGGGAUGACGGCCUUCGGGUUGUAAACCGCUUUCGCCUGUGACGAAGCGUGAGUGACGGUAAUGGGUAAAGAAGCACCGGCUAACUACGUG
RNAcentral lists this ribosomal RNA (468 nucleotides) under uncultured bacterium. Its description in RNAcentral is "partial 16S ribosomal RNA". It matches the Rfam family "Bacterial small subunit ribosomal RNA", at positions 28 to 507 of the family's 1533-position model. The record is from RNAcentral.